This 760-nucleotide unclassified non-coding RNA is filed under the name Hevea brasiliensis (rubber tree). Lineage: Eukaryota; Viridiplantae; Streptophyta; Magnoliopsida; Malpighiales; Euphorbiaceae. The record is from RNAcentral.
UAUAUAUGGUGGUUUGCGUGGAGGUUGCUUGAAAUAUAUUUGAUGGAGUGCAAUAGACCGCACCAACCUACAAAAAGAAACGGUCCCUCUGUAACCAGUUAUCCAAAUAAAUCAUUUUCGUCGGUAUUGAUACCUGCUAAAAGUUGAUGCUUGUCAAGAAGUGUUGAUGUGGGGAGUGGAAGGCUGUAUUGGGCCACGGCUAGAAUUCCUUUUGAGUAGAUUUGAUAAGAUAUGUAGCAUUAUUAAAAGCUCAAGUGAUUUCAUAUGAUAUCAACUGUGGGUUUUAAUUGGUCAUUAUCUGAAUUAAUAUACGCAUCAAUGCUUUAAGAUUUCACAUUCUGUAACACAGCUUGAAUUUCUUGGAAGAGCCAAGACUAUAUUGGAUAAAGAUUGGCUCAUAGGAAGCCAAUAUAUUUUAACACAUCGUAAGCAAACAUGUCUGUAUUUGUUGAUGAUUUGUGAAGUCAUCAAAAUAUAAUAGAAUGCUAUUGUAACAUUAGUGUCCUUGGUCAAGUUCAUCUUCUCUUGAUUUACUUUGUUAUUUUUAAUUAAAUUACUGGUCAUAAAAGAAGAAAUGCUAUAUAAAAUGAAGUCUGUUGCGGAGUAUUUUUAGAAGCUCUAUUUGUGAAAGGGUAUUUAAAGCAUUUCUAGUUUUAUACUAGAUGACGGAGGUCACACUAUGAUUGUGUCAUGUUGUCCUAACUAUUUCACUGUUCAUGAUAUUGUAGCAUAAUAUAUAUAUUUUUUUUGGUGCUUUAGG